Molecule: ribosomal RNA, 1047 nt
Filed under: Triticum aestivum (bread wheat)
Lineage: Eukaryota; Viridiplantae; Streptophyta; Magnoliopsida; Poales; Poaceae
Description: partial small subunit ribosomal RNA
Source: RNAcentral
AUGUUCUCAUUCACGUCAAUGGGAGGAACUGUUGACAAAGAAAUAAACAAAGGCAAAGGACCAUAUGUUUUUAGACUGCAUGGCCAGAACUACCACCAUAUUGGAACUCUUCUACCCGAAGAAGGUAACAAACCUCGAUUUGCCCAGCUGUACAUCUAUCAGACAAAAAAUGAGGUGCAAAACAGGAUAGAUGCUUCAAGAUGCAAUGAUAAAAAAACAACGGUGGACCCUGCCGUUGUCAAGGAACUACAAGAAAUGCUUGAUGAGAACAACAUCCUUGCAAAGUCAUUCAGAAUGGCAAGAGAUAGAUUCAAAGAAGAAGACUACCACGAUUACACGCUUCGAAUACUUGGGAAAAGGAACGCAACACACAACCUUCCAUCUGCAUCAGAAGUUGCGGCAUUAGUUGAAAGAGACCCUACUGGAGAGAGCGAAGGACGAGACAUUGUUGUCGAGUACAAAGAUAUGGAACCUCACAGAAUAUCGGAAAUCCAUCCGAAAUUAAUGUCAAUGCAAUACCCGUUGUUGUUUCCAUACGGAGAAGAUGGAUUCAAGCUUGAAAUACCUUACAAGCGAACAAAAGAAGGUGACAAAAGCAGGAAAUAUGUAACUAUGCUAGAAUACUAUGCAUACUACCUACAGCAAAGACCCGACCAAGGAAUGUCAUUGCUAAUGUCUAGACAUCUAUCGCUUCAAUUUUGGGUGGAUGUUUACACAUGCAUUGAGCAAAACAGACUAAACUGGAUCAGGAAUAAUCAAGGGAAGCUACGAACUGAACUUUACAGUGGACUGCAGGACGCGAUUGAGCGAGGGGACACCAGAACAGAGCAAGUCGGAAAGAGGAUAAUUGUACCUUCAUCUUAUACAGGAGGUAGAAGAAACAAGGCACAAAACUUGCAAGACGCAUUUGCAAUAUGCCGGUGGGCUGGAUAUCCAGACCUAUUUAUAACAUUCACAUGCAAUGCAAAGUGGCCUGAGAUCCAAUACAUGCUAGAUGAAGCAGGAGGAGGCCUCAAGCCAGCCGACCGACCAGAUAUUGUUGACUGA